Brachypodium distachyon (stiff brome) is the source of this 1596-nucleotide long non-coding RNA. RefSeq lists it as uncharacterized. Lineage: Eukaryota; Viridiplantae; Streptophyta; Magnoliopsida; Poales; Poaceae. The record is from RefSeq and is a predicted model, not a curated record. The transcript is spliced from 2 exons.
CAUCUCAAAAAUCGAUCUUUUUCUCCAAUUGCAUCCUUACAUGGAUAGAUAAUGUGGUGCUUGGUAUCUACUACCUCUGUUUUAAAAUAAAAGGCGUUUUGGUAGGCCAAGACCUACCAAAACAUCAUAUUGAAAUAGAGGCAGUACUGUUUCUCCAAAACAGGUCUCGGUCACAUGAGGUUAUUUAGAAAUAUAGAGGCAGUAAUAUUUUCGUUUGUACUAAAAUGUGGCAUACAAUCAGGGGCAUGCUGGACUGGACACGGCCAUGUCAUCUGAAUUGGUUACUUCCAAGCGGCAUCUGUUUCGGAGUUAAUAUCCUAAGGAUGGCUAUCUCUGCGUUCUCUCAGCGCGCCGCUUUCAGUUCCCUGUGCCUGAGCCCACAGUCAGCGGUAAACUUUCUAUUCUCAAAGUAAACCUCAAGGCAUUGACAUGUGUUCAUAUUCUGAUAUGUAUAGCCUUUCUUCCAAGAGCCUAUCUCAAAGAGAGCUAAACCGUUUUGGGAGUAUACAAUCAAGGGCCGAAGUGCUUGGGGCCAUUCCAAUCCAAGUAUGCAGCUGAAUGUUGGCUCAUUAAAUUUUAAUAUUGAGCACAAUGAUGCAUCUUUUGUUGGUAGCUUCGAAGCUUGUGAAAAAUAUUGUCUCUUGAUACUGUCUAGAGGUUCCUCACGAGUCUUGUGCAUUAACGUUUCGGUUCUCAAUCAAUUAUGUUUUUCGAAUAGUCAGCAUGAUAUAAAUUGGUUUUAGAAAUGUGUUAUUUUUCAUAAAUAUGGAUUUUCAGUUCACCGAUUUAACUGGCAUGCUUCGCAUGUUGUUCCUGGUGACUGUUGAGCUCUUGUGUCAUUUGAAUUGAGCCUCUCACUUCACAUCAUUUCAACUAUAUUGGUGAGUUUAAGUUGUAGUAUAGCUGUAUAUGUGUUUGUAAGUGAUAUGCUUUUCAGAUCUGUAAUAUCCAUCGCCUUGUAUGGGCAAUACUCCCUCCGUCCCAUACCAAGUGACUCAAAUUUGCACAAAUAUGGAUGUAUCUAUGCCUAAAAAGCAUCAAGAUACAUGUAAUAGAAAGUCACUUAAUAUGGGACGGACGGAGUAAUAAAUUAGGAAGUGUUACUUCCAGAUUUUUUUCCUCUUGCAUGUAUGGUUGGUUUGUAAGCUGUAGUAAAAUUACAGCAGUUUCAGGGGCGGAGCCAGCAUACCCUUGUUGAUUUCAGGUGAACCAAAUGAAACUUCCCAAACCUUUAUUGGAUUAGUCUUUACCCAUACUUAUUAGUCAAAGAAUACACUGUAAUAUAGUGUUGAGCUCAAUGGCGUUCCCCCUUGGCUUCGCCGCCGGUCAGUCUCACCUUUUUUUUUCACUUUCCAGGUAUUGCAAGCAGCAAGCAUGACAAUACAACAAUGUGUUCUAGGCUUCUCGUAAGUGUUAGCAUGGGGCUCCAGAUACUCCUAAAUAGCUGGCUUGCAAAUCGUAGAAUAGGGCAAAUUUUCAGUUAGUUAGGAUUACAUGUUACUGUACCAAUAUUGAGCCAGUAUGGGAUGUAAAUAUGAUUGGAUUCAGAUGGCAUUCGUUAUGGUUGUUACCAAUUUUAUAGUAGAACAAUUAUCA